GUGCUCACUUCCGCAACACAUAUACUAAUAUUGGAAUGACACGGAGAUGAUCAGCAUGGCUCCUGAGCAAGGAUGACAUGCAAAUUUGUGAAGCAUUCCAUAAGUAA
Molecule: small nuclear RNA, 107 nt
Filed under: Salvator merianae (Argentine black and white tegu)
Lineage: Eukaryota; Metazoa; Chordata; Lepidosauria; Squamata; Teiidae
Source: RNAcentral